GACGAACGCUGGCGGCGUGCUUAACACAUGCAAGUCGAACGGAAAGGCCCUGCUUUUGUGGGGUGCUCGAGUGGCGAACGGGUGAGUAACAAGUGAGUAACCUGCCCUUGACUUUGGGAUAACUUCAGGAAACUGGGGCUAAUACCGGAUAGGAGCUCCUGCUGCAUGGUGGGGGUUGGACAGUUUCGGCGGUUGGGGAUGGACUCGCGGCUUAUCAGCUUGUUGGUGGGGUAGUGGCUUACCAAGGCUUUGACGGGUAGCCGGCCUGAGAGGGUGACCGGCCACAUUGGGACUGAGAUACGGCCCAGACUCCUACGGGAGGCAGCAGUGGGGAAUAUUGCACAAUGGGCGGAAGCCUGAUGCAGCAACGCCGCGUGCGGGAUGACGGCCUUCGGGUUGUAAACCGCUUUCGCCUGUGACGAAGCGUGAGUGACGGUAAUGGGUAAAGAAGCACCGGCUAACUACGUG
RNAcentral lists this ribosomal RNA (468 nucleotides) under uncultured bacterium. RNAcentral's name for it is "partial 16S ribosomal RNA". It matches the Rfam family "Bacterial small subunit ribosomal RNA", at positions 28 to 507 of the family's 1533-position model. The record is from RNAcentral.